GACAGGGCACUCAGUGGAACAGGGGUUCUCAACGUGUGUCACCAGAACCAGCAGCGCCACCAUCACCCAGGAACUGGGCCCCUUCUGGACUAUAAACCCGUGAGGCCUUUCCGUCAUGCAAGACUGGAGGCUGUCAUUAUCCGAAGGAACCACCACCACCACCUGCACAGGAAUAAGGGGGAGAGCCCACAGCAGACUGAGCCUGCCCAUCAUCCCAGCGACCCUGCCCCUGGGAUGGCCACAGAACUGGCUGGGGGGUCUAGGUCCCAGGGAGUAGAGAGAUGGGUUGCAGAGAGUCAGGGCGGCCUAGGUCCCUACAUUCCAGAGUGCAGACUUCAUUACCGGGGCAUCGGGGCAUCUGGGUGGUGGUGGGGAGGGGGUGUCCAGCAAGUGGGACCCACACACCAACUCAGUUGUCCUGCUUUAUUUUAAUCUCCCCCACACACCAACUCAGUUGUCCUGCUUUAUUUUAAUCUCCAGCUCUAUUAUCUCAUGACUUCUGUGUUUAUCUGCUUUCUCAUCCCUCUCUCAGACUAGAUUGUGAGCCUGUGAGGACAGCAAGCAGCUCUGCUUUGCUCACGCUGUCCUAGCAUUUAGGGGCGCCCUUGUGAACUCUGCAAACAGUGAGUGUUCAGUCAGCAUUGCUGGUGGAUUGCCCAGAUGAAGCUGCUUUGCCAGCCCCCUCCUCAGAGAUUCUGUGCACACUGGGUCACACCCUUAUUAUGAGCACUAGUGAAGGCUAAGAAUCCUUUACUCAAACAAAACUCGAACCCUUCACAAGCUGGUGCAGACACUUCCCAGGGUGCGCGCGCACGCACACACACACACACACACACACACACCCCAGCCCUAAGCACGCGCGCACACACACACACACACACACACCCCCCAGCCCUAAGUGCACACACACACACACACACACACCCCAGCCCUAAGCUCUGCACAGACCACAAGCUUUGCACCCAUGCCCACUGGCCCUAGAGCAGGAGGAAACUCAAGAGCCUGUUUUCAGCAUCAUCUCUCACCCAUCAGCUUUCAGUCCCUGGCCUGUGUCGUCCAGGGAAGGCCAGAGAAAAUCCCAAGAACCAACACCGGUGAGCACAUGCUGGAUGCCCAGCGCUGACAGCCCGUGGCCUCCACCACCCCUGGGCACAGAGCUGUUACCUGAAACACAGCCUCCCACAGUGAGUUGGGAGCUCUUUCUAAACCACCUUGCUAUUGGUCUCUACAAUCGUCCUGCAUUUAGCCUCCAUUUAGGGCCCGGGUUCUCAACACUCACUAAUCACAGGCUGCCUUUUUGAGGCUGGGUCAAUUGCUGGCAAAACACCAGAAAAAAAUGCACAAAGAAGCAUGGCUUAUCAGAGAAAUUCCCAGGGCCUCUCCUUCUCUCCUCCUACCCCAACCACAGCCAUCCGAGUCUGCAGAGCCCCAAGCGUGUAACCAGAGGUCACACACCUGGGUACAGAAUGGGUGGCAGGGCCCCUUCUUUUUUUGGACACAGCUCGGAAACCCCUCCAUUCCUUAGACUGCUGCUGUGCCUCGCGCCCCCCACUUCUUA
Molecule: long non-coding RNA, 1558 nt
Organism: Cervus hanglu yarkandensis (Yarkand deer)
Lineage: Eukaryota; Metazoa; Chordata; Mammalia; Artiodactyla; Cervidae
Source: Ensembl